GUUUUGAUUGUGCCAUAAUUUUAAUUUACUAUACUAUAUUAUAUACACUUAGUUUACAAUAUUUACUAUCAAUUAUUAAUACAUUUAUGCAUUCAAUCAUUGACGAACAGUCCCAAACCGACUAUAGUCUAUACUGUUCUGCACAAAUUAAUCAUGCAUGCAGUCCUGCCAGAUUUUCUGGUACUAUAUAUACUGUGUUACUUGCGCACUAAAGCGAGUUUUCACACUUAAGCAUCCAUAACAUAGCAGUGAGAUUUGUAACUUUCUCCCCGUUUCUGGUAGGCACAUUUAUUUUCAUAGGCAUGUUUUUCACAUUAUUUUUACAGUUCAAAUUCAUUUUUUGUACAGUUCAAAUUCAAUUGAAACUUCAAGAUAACUUUCGAAAACAAUAUCUGACAGUUUUGUAUUUUCAAUGUGAAUAAAAGUUGGUUUGCAAAACAUGACCGUCAUUUAUAUCUAGGUCUUAUUAAGAAGAAGUGACGGUAACCACUUAUCCCAUAAACAUUGACAAUGAGACAACUUUCUUUUAGACACAAAAAAUUAUGUUGAAUUAAUCAAGUUUAGGUCAGCGUAUGCCUUAAACAAUGAGAAAAACACACAAACUGCAUGAAAGCAAGCUAUAACAGGGCCCUAAAUUAUAAAUGUAAAAAAAUUCAAUCACUCUAAACCAAAAUUUUAAACAUCACCAAAAAGUAAACAGAAGUUUAAAAUAUUUAUAUAACUAAGAAGUGUAUAAAGUUUAAUGCCGUUAUAAUACUUCGUUUUUGAGAUAUGGCGCGACA
Molecule: long non-coding RNA, 782 nt
Filed under: Mytilus galloprovincialis (Mediterranean mussel)
Lineage: Eukaryota; Metazoa; Mollusca; Bivalvia; Mytilida; Mytilidae
Source: RNAcentral